CAGCAGCCGCGGUAAUACGUAGGGUGCGAGCGUUAAUCGGAAUUACUGGGCGUAAAGCGUGCGCAGGCGGUUGUGUAAGACAGGUGUGAAAUCCCCGGGCUUAACCUGGGAACUGCGCUUGUGACUGCACAGCUAGAGUAUGGCAGAGGGGGGUGGAAUUCCACGUGUAGCAGUGAAAUGCGUAGAGAUGUGGAGGAACACCGAUGGCGAAGGCGGCUCACUGGUCCAUUACUGACGCUGAGGUGCGAAAGCGUGGGGAGCAAACAGGAUUAGAUACCCGCGUAGUCCCUGUCUCUUAUAC
Molecule: ribosomal RNA, 301 nt
Filed under: uncultured bacterium
Lineage: Bacteria
Description: partial 16S ribosomal RNA
Rfam family: Bacterial small subunit ribosomal RNA
Source: RNAcentral